ACUCCUACGGCAGGCAGCAGUGGGGAAUUUUGCGCAAUGGGGGAAACCCUGACUCAGCAACGCCGCGUGAGUGAUGAAGGCCUUCGGGUCGUAAAGCUCUGUCAGAGGGAAAGAAGUGCAGUGGUGCUAAUACCAUCAUUGCUUGACGGUACCCUCAAAGGAAGCACCGGCUAACUCCGUGCCAGCAGCCGCGGUAAU
Molecule: ribosomal RNA, 198 nt
Filed under: uncultured bacterium
Lineage: Bacteria
Description: partial 16S ribosomal RNA
Rfam family: Bacterial small subunit ribosomal RNA
Source: RNAcentral